Molecule: long non-coding RNA, 629 nt
Organism: Cebus imitator (Panamanian white-faced capuchin)
Lineage: Eukaryota; Metazoa; Chordata; Mammalia; Primates; Cebidae
Exons: 5
Source: RefSeq, a predicted model, not a curated record
GAAAGAUCUCUGAGAAUGGUUCAGCACCCAGAGUUCUGUCUUGUACUUCUCCUCAUGUUGCAGACAUCCACGAAAGAGUGAGACGGUUGUCGGUUGGAUUGAAGAACAAAUGUGUGGAAGGCACUGAGGAAAAAAGGAGAGAAAUAUCUAACUAAACCCAACAGAAGAGAAAGUUUCAAGAAACAGGUCGUCACCAAUACCAAAAUUAGCCAUGAUAUUCAGGAAGAAAAAAAUAGAAACAUGAUAACCACCUUCAGUAAAGACCACGGUCUGAUUCCAUUGGCCAGAGCACAGCCACGCCGCCACACCUGGCUAAGGAGAGACUGGCUGAAGUUUAGCUGUGGAUUGAGAAAGAGGAGGACACUGAUUACUUAUAAAAACCUUUCAAGCUUUGGCACGUUAUUCUAGAAGCAACUAGAUACAUCAUUAUCCAUCCGUGCUUCAUUAUCAACUGGGAUAAUUGCUAAAAUACGACAGGAUGUCUCCAUAUAUCCCUGAUCAAAAUAUCAAAGGAAUGGGUCUCGUGAAUAUGUUUUCAUGGUGACUGUGUUGGGCUCCAUAUUUGAAAACAACUGAGUGAGUAUUCUAUCUUUUGAAAAUAAAAAUAAGUCAAAACAUUUAUUUUAAAA